Molecule: long non-coding RNA, 236 nt
Organism: Perognathus longimembris pacificus (Pacific pocket mouse)
Lineage: Eukaryota; Metazoa; Chordata; Mammalia; Rodentia; Heteromyidae
Exons: 3
Source: RefSeq, a predicted model, not a curated record
CCUUCCCUCCCCCAACCCCCUCCACUUUCAUCUUUUAUUUUUAACCUUCCCAAUGAUGGACAUCAUCAUUCUAAUCUACAAAGCUUAUAAACUCUACGAACAUGAACAAUAAAACAGUUUCUUCCAGGUUGGAUGAUAUGUACAUUUCUUUACUUUUGCUUACUAUCACCUGUUCCCUCUUUUUCUCUCAUUUCUUCCCUCCCCCCACUACCCUGGAGUCGCUUAGUUCGCUCUCA